GUGGGGAAUCUUCCGCAAUGGACGAAAGUCUGACGGAGCAACGCCGCGUGAGUGAUGAAGGUCUUCGGAUUGUAAAGCUCUGUUAAUCGGGACGAAAGAGCCUAGUGUGAAUAAUGCUAGGAAGUGACGGUACCGGAAUAGAAAGCCACGGCUAACUACGUGCCAGCAGCCGCGGUAAUACGUAGGUGGCAAGCGUUGUCCGGAAUUAUUGGGCGUAAAGCGCGCGCAGGCGGAUCUGCCAGUCUGUCUUAAAAGUUCGGGGCUUAACCCCGUGAUGGGAUGGAAACUACAGAUCUAGAGUAUCGGAGAGGAAAGUGGAAUUCCUAGUGUAGCGGUGAAAUGCGUAGAUAUUAGGAAGAACACCAGUGGCGAAGGCGACUUUCUGGACGAAAACUGACGCUGAGACGCGAAAGCCAGGGGAGCGAACGGGAUUAGAUACCCUUGUAGUCC
This 450-nucleotide ribosomal RNA is filed under the name uncultured bacterium. Its description in RNAcentral is "partial 16S ribosomal RNA". It matches the Rfam family "Bacterial small subunit ribosomal RNA", at positions 354 to 796 of the family's 1533-position model. The record is from RNAcentral.